CAAUAGCGUAUAUUUAAGUUGUUGCAGUUAAAAAGCUCGUAGUUGGAUUUCGGAUGGGACUUGCCGGUCCGUCGUUUCGAUGUGCACUGGCCAGUCCUAUCUUGUUGUCGGGGACUAGCUCCUGGGCUUCACUGUCCGGGACUAGGAGCUGACGAGGUUACUUUGAGUAAAUUAGAGUGUUCAAAGCAAGCCUACGCUCUGAAUACAUUAGCAUGGAAUAACACGAUAGGACUCUGGCUUAUCUUGUUGGUCUGUGAGACCAGAGUAAUGAUUAAGAGGGACAGUCGGGGGCAUUCGUAUUUCAUUGUCAGAGGUGAAAUUCUUGGAUUUAUGAAAGACGAACUUCUGCGAAAGCACUUGUCAAGGAUGUUUUCAUUAA
This 379-nucleotide ribosomal RNA is filed under the name uncultured eukaryote. RNAcentral's name for it is "partial 18S ribosomal RNA". It matches the Rfam family "Eukaryotic small subunit ribosomal RNA", at positions 592 to 976 of the family's 1831-position model. The record is from RNAcentral.